This 466-nucleotide ribosomal RNA is filed under the name uncultured bacterium. RNAcentral's name for it is "partial 16S ribosomal RNA". It matches the Rfam family "Bacterial small subunit ribosomal RNA", at positions 28 to 507 of the family's 1533-position model. The record is from RNAcentral.
GAUGAACGCUGGCGGCGUGCUUAACACAUGCAAGUCGAACGAUGAAGCCCAGCUUGCUGGGUGGAUUAGUGGCGAACGGGUGAGUAACACGUGAGUAACCUGCCCUUAACUCUGGGAUAAGCCUGGGAAACUGGGUCUAAUACCGGAUAGGAGCGUCCACCGCAUGGUGGGUGUUGGAAAGAUUUAUCGGUUUUGGAUGGACUCGCGGCCUAUCAGCUUGUUGGUGAGGUAAUGGCUCACCAAGGCGACGACGGGUAGCCGGCCUGAGAGGGUGACCGGCCACACUGGGACUGAGACACGGACCAGACUCCUACGGGAGGCAGCGGUGGGGAAUAUUGCACAAUGGGCGCAAGCCUGAUGCAGCGACGCCGCGUGAGGGAUGACGGCCUUCGGGUUGUAAACCUCUUUCAGUAGGGAAGAAGCGAAAGUGACGGUACCUGCAGAAGAAGCACCGGCUAACUACGUG